GGGAAGUUCGCAUAAUGGUAGUGCCCCCGGCUGUAACCCGGCAGGAACGUAAAGUUUGGAGGUUCGAGUCCUUCACUUCCCA
RNAcentral lists this transfer RNA (82 nucleotides) under Spirochaetae bacterium HGW-Spirochaetae-1. Its description in RNAcentral is "tRNA-Tyr". It matches the Rfam family "tRNA". From Rfam's summary of the family: Transfer RNA (tRNA) molecules are approximately 80 nucleotides in length. Lineage: Bacteria; Pseudomonadati; Spirochaetota. The record is from RNAcentral.